AGCCUCACCGUCUCUAAACCCCUGAUUUCACUCUCUCUCUCUCUCUCUUCAAACCCCUUCGUUUCUCUCGCUUCAAACCUUCGUUUAUUCGAUUAAUCUGCAACCCUUCUCUUCGAUUCACCCCUUCGUUUAUUCGAUUCAAGUAUUCGUAGAUCGUCGAUUCGCAGAGCAGAAUGUUAAGUGUUGAUCAGUCUCAUCUAUAUCUUCUCACAUUCAAGUUCGAUUGAAGAUGAUACUUACUAAUGGAAUCAUUCGAUUCAGUUCUACCUUCUUCAGCUCGGUGAUUCAAUCUCAGAUUCAUUCGGCGAUUUCGAAGUUCUCUCUCGAUUUCAAAGCUCCGUGAUUCAAUUUCAGAUUCAUCCGGCGAGGAGAGUGAGCACCAUCAUCUACUAAGGUGAGCACCUUCCCAUCAGAAAAUCUCAAGUUCUCUCUCUCUCUCUCUCUCUCUCUCUCUCUCUCGCGUUCUUCUUCUUCCUUCCCGUCAAUUCUUCUCCUAGGGUUUUCAAUCAAUGUUUUGAAGAAGUUUAAUCUCUGUUUUUUUGUUGAUCAGUUUGUAUUGAUCAAUCAGUGUUUUACACAUCUCAUUUAUUUUUCCCCAGAUCACCAGAACUGAUUUUUCAAUUAGUAUUCUUUAUUUUUCACUCUCUAUUUUUUUAUUACCCUGUUUUAAACCCUAAAUUAGCAUCAACAAUAUUAGCCUGUUUUUUUCCUAUGCUGAUCUGAUUUUUGGUCCCAAUUCUGAUAUAUGCACAUAUUAUACUUUUCUCAAUGGCAUUGUUGUUAGGGUUGCAAAGUUUAAUGAUUCUAGUUGAUUUUUAGGAGUUAAGUUGUGAAUCUUUUGUACUUAUUCCAGUUACAAGAUUAGGGACUUUAAGCAGGAAAUAAGAGUGAAAGAUGAGACUGUAAAUGGCACUUACUGUCUACAUACAAAUAAAUAUGGAAAUUAAUUGUGCCAAUGAAUAAUAGAUAAAAAGAUUAUGAAUAGUGAAUGAUAGAAUGCUUCCAAGGUUACAAAUUAAUGUAUUUACAGAUUCUCAUUAGUAAAACUCAGUGGCCAUGUGGUCAUGAUUGUCUUGACUUCUCUUUUGGAAAAAAUGUUCCCCAGUAGCAUAAUGAUUCUAUAAAUAAGGUGCAUAAUUUCCAAAAGAAAAUUUAUGUAAUCAUGCUAUGACUAAAAGUCUAUAACAUACAUCACUUGGUGAUUAUGAAUGACAUACAGGGUAAUAUGUCAUGAUUUCAUGUUGUUUUUAUUAUUUUGUUCUUUACUGAAGCUUUGAUUUUUGUUUGUUUUUUUCCACAACUAUGCAACAUUUAGUUACUUUUGGACUCAUAAUUAAACACAGCUUUAUGCUUUAUGCACAAAUAUAUCCUUCAUUUUCGGUGGCCUGCUAAUGUUACUCUGUUUUAUGUGGGUUAGUAUGAGUAUGCGAGUACACAUAUUUAUGUGCAUACCUGGAUUUCUAUUUCCAGCAUCACUUCAAGUAAUGAAUCACAUCAAAUAUGUGAUGGUAAAUGUUUGUAUGCAUCCUUCAAAUUUCAGUUGAUGCUAGUUAAUUGGGUGGAUGAGUAGCUUCAGUGAUCAAUAUCUUAAAUCUUUGUAAACUUAAAUUGGUUGAGCUUGGUUGCCCCUGAAUGUCUACUUGGGUACUAAGCUUAGUAACCAAUGUAUAAUUGUUUUGAAAUAUGCCUGAACCUGUUUAUUCUGUUCACCACAUGCCCAUGAAUGUCUAAUUGGGUACUCAAUUUCAUUAUUGACCAAAAUGAAGCUCACAUCAAAAUUCCAACUAUAAAAAGAGAUAUGAUCAAAAUAGUGAAAGGUGUUUACACUUUCUGAAUUUUGGGGUUUUGAUCAAGAUUAAGCAAGAACCACUCCAGGUUGAUGUUUAACUCCUCAAUGUUCACAAUAGUCAAUUCUAAUGCAAAAUAGUGAAAGAUGUUACAUUUGAUAUUUAACUAAAGGACGUGAAUGGCUUUGGGAUAAGUGGAGAUUUUCAAACCUGAGACCAAUUGGAAAAGUGGGAUGUGGUAAACUUCUUAGUAAGAAGGUAAGCCCAAUGGCUAUUAAAAUCACCAUUUGCAGAUCCCAGAUGAUCUGGUCUGGACCACUGGAAAGUGAUCUCAAAGAUUGAAAGAUAGAUCUUAGUGGGAAAAGCCAUGGAGAUGUUGCUAAAAUCCCAAGCAUUGUUGGACCAACAGUCUCUAACUUUCAUAUUCUCCUCAAAAGAUUUAAGGGGGCCAAUUCCAGUCUAAUUAUCAAACCAAAACAAGGUAUGGGCCGAUUCCGUUGCACCAGCUCUGCACCCAUUAUUCUGAUUUUGUGCAGUUAUAUUUUUGGUUAUCUUUACGUUUUGGCAUAGCUAAUGCUUUUUGGACUUGUGUCAUUGCUAAUGGAUCAUUGGAUCAUUUUUGUGGUCAAGAUUUGCGUUAAAUCAUCGGCCCUCAGCUGGUUCUAUCCAUGUGUAGCAGACUCAAAUGAUUAGGUGAUAUUGUUUGGUAGUUGGCCUAUCCAUCUUAGUUGAAGUUUGGCCUUUGAAACUAACUCGUUCUAAGCUUGGUUUCUUGGAAUUGAACUUGUUGGAUUUUUUUCAUGAAGGAUGUUGUAUUGUGUAUUAUUAUAGAUGUGAUGGAACAGUAAUUAAACAAAUAUUUGUCAGUUAUCUGGUUAUAAAUUCUUGGUGCGGAUGACAAGUAUAUUUGUCAGUACACUGAAGAAUCUCGUAACUUCUGGGGAAGUAAGUUUUUAUUGCCUUAGGAUUUUGACUUAUUGUUUUCGUUUCUCAAUGGAACAGAACAAGUUCAUAAUGGUUCUUUAUUAGUAGAACCAUUCA
Non-coding RNA from Camellia sinensis, 2828 nucleotides. Lineage: Eukaryota; Viridiplantae; Streptophyta; Magnoliopsida; Ericales; Theaceae. The record is from RefSeq and is a predicted model, not a curated record.